GAUGAACGCUGGCGGCGUGCCUAAUACAUGCAAGUCGAGCGAACGGACGAGAAGCUUGCUUCUCUGAUGUUAGCGGCGGACGGGGUGAGUAACACGUGGAUAACCUACCUAUAAGACUGGGAUAACUUCGGGAAACCGGAGCUAAUACCGGAUGAUAUUUUGAACCGCAUGGUUCAAAAGUGAAAGACGGUCUUGCUGUCACUUAUAGAUGGAUCCGCGCUGCAUUAGCUAGUUGGUAAGGUAACGGCUUACCAAGGCAACGAUGCAUAGCCGACCUGAGAGGGUGAUCGGCCACACUGGAACUGAGACACGGUCCAGACUCCUACGGGAGGCAGCAGUAGGGAAUCUUCCGCAAUGGGCGAAAGCCUGACGGAGCAACGCCGCGUGAGUGAUGAAGGUCUUCGGAUCGUAAAACUCUGUUAUUAGGGAAGAACAUAUGUGUAAGUAACUGUGCACAUCUUGACGGUACCUAAUCAGAAAGCCACGGCUAACUACGUG
Molecule: ribosomal RNA, 498 nt
Filed under: uncultured bacterium
Lineage: Bacteria
Description: partial 16S ribosomal RNA
Rfam family: Bacterial small subunit ribosomal RNA
Source: RNAcentral